Triticum aestivum (bread wheat) is the source of this 3708-nucleotide long non-coding RNA. RefSeq lists it as uncharacterized. The transcript is spliced from 2 exons. NCBI's taxonomy places the organism in Eukaryota, Viridiplantae, Streptophyta, Magnoliopsida, Poales, Poaceae. The record is from RefSeq and is a predicted model, not a curated record.
UCGUGAGGUAUACCCUGCUUAGUGGCUCCCGAACCAGAAAAACAAACCGGCCCAGCCCGCACCCCCACCACUCUCUCCUCUCUCCCUCGUUCCUAAUCUCUCCAACCGCACACGCCACCCGCCGCCAGCCCCAACUCUCCGGCAACCCGCCUCCCCCCGCCACCCACCUCCAGCGACGCGCCGCGCCCAGCACCUCCCACCUCCGGCGACGCGCCGUGACCACCGCACCCUGCCUCCUCCCUCAUGCCGCGCGCUGCCCCUGAACCCUGCCUCCUCUCUCGCGCCGCCCCCACUGCCCCCCGAGCGUGGCCGCCCCUCCACGGAUCCAAGCUCGCACGCCGCCGCCCCUCCCACCACGCCGAGCUCGCACGCCACCGCCGCCGGCGCCCCCAACUGGCCGCCCCUCGUCAGUUUGUGUGUUCCAUCCGCACCAAAAAUCGCCGUCCCUAGCUUCCCGUGGAUCCCUGCGCGCCGCCGCCCACCAGAAGGAUGCUCUCGUGCUCCCCGACGCCGCUUUCCUUAAGCAUUCGUGCGCUCCAAAAGUCAACGCGACACAGCUGCUUCCUCCGGCAACACCUCCUACCGACGCCGGCGGUUCUGAGGUUACCUUGUUAGUAGUUCAACUUUGCUAAAUUCUGUAGUUAACCAUUGCUAAAAAUCAUCUUAGAAAUUAUCUCGUUUAAAUAGUUCACCUUUUCUAAAAACAGUAGUUCUCUGGUUAGAAAAACAAUAGUUAUCUCUGCAAGAAAGUAUGACAAUCUUUUGGUAAAGUCUCAAUCUCUUCUCAGUUUUAGUGUACGCUCGCUGGCGAUGCGUCCAGCAUGCUUGCGGUGAUAGCGCCAUAGUGGCCACCACUAAUGGCAUUGGCAGCCAGCAUGCUUGCACAAAAAUAGCUAGCUAGGUGUUCAGGAUCGUCUAUUUUAUCCCUCGAAACAGGAUGCUCAGGACGUCUAUUUUGUUUUCUGAAACACUAGCUAGGUGUUCCCAGUUCAGUACAUGGACUAUCAUCAGCUCUAGUUGCUGCUUCCUGCCACCAACGAAUUGCGCAAGUUCAAAGAGUGUCGCAUGACAAAUUCAAAAGGUGUUGUAUGGCAAGUUCAGAAUUUUGGUUUCGUGAAAAGUGUGAUUUUUGGACAAUAUUUUGUGCGAUUCAAUUGUUCAUCUUCAGAACUUGGAGAUGUUAAGUCUACUUUUUUCUAUGAUGAAGGUACACAUGAGCUCCAUCUGCAAUGGUUAUCCGCCCUAGUGCUUCAAAGAUGCUUAUUUUGUUUCCCCCGUGACGCAGCGAGGAUGAUAGUGACGACACUUACAAAAUUGUUUUCUGUGUUGCUAUGUUGUCAGUCCAAAGUGUGGUGAAGAUGUAGUCCUGGGUGUGUAGAUGAUGUGGUGUGUGUCUGGUUGUGUGUGUGUGCAUGAUGAUUGGUGGCUGUUGUGUGUGUGUGCAGGGUACCCGGCGACAGCGGGUAGGCGGCAAGUGUACUGGUGAGCAGCUACCCGGAAAAUGCUGGAACAGGGCUUCCAAAGUAAGCUCCUUGCUUCUUGCUUCUCUUUAAAUCUCUUGAGCUUUACAUGGUAUGUUCAAGACAAGUCCUCUAGUGGUUGUAUUGUAUGAUGUUCGUUUAAAUGAUCGGCUAUACUGACACCGCAUACGUGGAAACUCAAAAUGAAAAUAAAAGGUGUUAAUGGAGAAAUAUAAGAACAAAAACAGUUAUGUGUAGCCAUCUAGCAACAUGGUGAUCAAACAAAAUCCCGACAGCCACCCUCCAUGGUGAUCAAUUCCAUGUGCUGAUGGGUAUGCUUGCUUAGCACAAAAUUCAUAAACUGUCAAUUUAUUUUGAAUUGAACUGAUGCUGCUCUUGAUUCAGACAUGAGGGGAGAAGACGGAACUAGAAUGAUUCAGUUCAUCAUUGGCACCCCUGUAAACCAAACAGUGAAGAACACACCCACUGUACUUUUGCUCUUGUUCUUUCUAUCUCCUGAAUUCCACGCUUUCUGUGAUGAGCAUGCUUGGUACUAUAUAGAUACUGCUGUAGUAGUUCUAAUACAAUAUAUUACAAGAAUUCAUUGACAAAAAAGGUGUCAGUUCAUAUAUGCAUGCAGCAGCUGUUCUGAUACUACUUCAGUAACCAGAAAAACACAGAAGUUCAACUAUACUUAUGCAAAAUAGUUCAAUAUUUUAUUCUAUGACAGUCAAGAAAAACAGAAAAAAAGAGGUUCAUCGUGUGAUGAGCAAUAGUCCCAACAACUGUGCUAGAGAUGCAAAAAAUUGAUAGCAUAGCCGAUGCUAUUUUUCAUCCAAUUUCGGAAGAAAACUGAAGUUGAUCAGAGUAACUGAAGAAUGAUCUGUUAGUUCUUGAGUAUGUGUAAUGCUGCCAUUUUACUAUGCAUUUGAUUCCAUCGUGAUGGAUGUAUUACAAAGAUAUGGCUGUAUUAUUAUGUUGAAUAAAAAUACCAUUUUGCUGCAACAUUUUCUGUCAGCUCCUGUCAAGUUAUACAUGUAUGUGAGGAUCCUUCUAUGUAGUAAGUUCAUAGUCGAGAAGUCAGGGACUUCGUAAGGAACGUGAACACCAAAAAACCAUUAAAAAACCUAAACCAUAUGUUAGGGGAGUUCAAGAAGUUCAUGGCUAGCUGUCCGUGUUCUGUAUUCUUAUCAGUUCAUAAUCGAGACGACAUGUAUUCUUAUCAGUUUGUUUAUCUAGCCCGUCGUGCUGUGUAUUCUGGUCAGUUCGUGUGUGUAUGUGUUGCCCUCGCAGUGUAUGAGAGGCCGCCCGUGAGGAAGUCGCCGAUCUGGUUGAGGCAUGCUGCUAUUCUCUAUAUCCGGUAGCACAAACAUUUAAAAGUUGAAGUUAAAACAAGAUGGAGAUGUGUGUUUUGGAGAGAGAAGAACUUAUCUAGUGGAGUGCGUGUGUGUGCUGCUGCAUCCUCGUCCGGCAGCUCUAAUCCACACUCUCAGUACAACUUCUCUACGAUCUCAUGUUCACAAAUCUUGUAGUACAUUUUUUAAAUAAAAAUCUUCUAGUACUAUGUAAAGCAAGCGUGGCCAACACAUACUUUAGGUGUCGCGGUAGUACGCACUGUUGAUGGUGGCCUUCCUUUGUGGCGCUGCUACUUUGCCACCUAGAGUAGUACUGCUACUACUUAUCAUGUUGCUAAAACCUAGCGAAAGUACAUGUAUUUGAUUAAUGGUUCUGUAGGAAGAAAUUUUUUCACCAAUAUAUAAUCUCUAGGUUUAGUAAAGCAAUCCUUUUGUUUAGUAGCUGAUACUGCUCAAGUUUAUUUCUUGUUGUACAUAUGAUGUCCAAUUUCUUCUUUCAGUUCGGUUCAAUUUAUAAAUUUCAUUCAGUUCAAUUCUUAUUGUAGUUGGAGUUUAGUUUCUUUUUUGAGUUCAAUUCAGGCAUGUGUACUUGCAACCUCACUGCCUUAAGCUACGAUCUCAAAUAGAAGUGUACUAAAUGCAGGUACUAGGUGGUGGCAUUGCUUCACUUCUCUUGUUACGUUCUCUUCGCCCAAAUUCGGAGGAUCAAGAAAAUAAAAUAUCAUUCUUUUGACAUGCACUACUCAAAAGAAGGCAUUUCUGUUGAAAAAUUGUUUCGCUUGACAUGUACUUGCCAACAAUUAUGUAUAAUAAAUCAUGGCAUUGUAUGUAGAAAAAGAUAUAUUGUGUGUUCUGCUGUUGUAUUGAGUUGCUAUCUAUUGCUAAUUGUAUGA